Molecule: ribosomal RNA, 238 nt
Filed under: uncultured bacterium
Lineage: Bacteria
Description: partial 16S ribosomal RNA
Rfam family: Bacterial small subunit ribosomal RNA
Source: RNAcentral
UGGUUCCUACGGGACGCAGCAGGGAAUCUUCCACAAUGGGCGCAAGCCUGAUGGAGCAACACCGCGUGAGUGAAGAAGGGUUUCGGCUCGUAAAGCUCUGUUGUUGGAGAAGAACGUGCGUGAGAGUAACUGUUCACGCAGUGACGGUAUCCAACCAGAAAGUCACGGCUAACUACGUGCCAGCAGCCGCGGUAAUACGUAGGGGGCAAGCGUUAUCCGGAUUUAUUGGGCGUAAAGC